GCCUAAAGCGUCCGUAGCCGGCUUUGUAAGUUUUCGGUUAAAUCUAUAUGCUCAACAUAUAGGCUGCCGGGAAUACUGCAAAGCUAGGGAGUGGGAGAGGUAGACGGUACUCCGUAGGAAGGGGUAAAAUCCUUUGAUCUAUGGAUGACCACCUGUGGCGAAGGCGGUCUACCAGAACACGUUCGACGGUGAGGGAUGAAAGCUGGGGGAGCAAACCGGAUUAGAUACCCGGGUAGUCCCAGCUGUAAACUAUGCAAACUCAGUGAUGCAUUGGCUUGUGGCCAGUGCAGUGCCGCAGAGAAGUCGUUAAGUUUGCCGCCUGGGAAGUACGUACGCAAGUAUGAAACUUAAAGGAAUUGGCGGGGGAGCACCACAAGGGGUGAAGCCUGCGGUUCAAUUGGAGUCAACGCCAGAAAUCUUACCCGGGGAGACAGCAGAAUGAAGGUCAAGCUGAAGACUUUACCAGACAAGCUGAGAAGUGGUGCAUGGCCGUCGCCAGCUCGUGCCGUGAGGUGUCCUGUUAAGUCAGGUAACGAGCGAGAUCCCUGCCUCUAGUUGCCGCCAUUACUCUCAGGAGUAGUGGGGCGAAUUAGCGGGACUGCCGCAGUUAAUGCGGAGGAAGGAGGGGGCCACGGCAGGUCAGUAUGCCCCGAA
This 654-nucleotide ribosomal RNA is filed under the name uncultured archaeon. Its description in RNAcentral is "bacterial SSU rRNA". It matches the Rfam family "Archaeal small subunit ribosomal RNA", at positions 508 to 1160 of the family's 1478-position model. The record is from RNAcentral.